ACAGCCCACCACUGUCAUAACCCACAUGGCUGGAGUUUUGAGGCCCAAAUCAAUGUGGGAGAGUUAAACCAUUAUCACCAAAGUGGACAUGAUGAACCGCCAGCCUAAAUGAAGAAAUUUUAAGGUUAGUAUCACUAUUAGGAAAAUGAAAGCGAGAGAACAACCCAUUUUUGUUUUUGCCAAAAUCUGAUGACGGCACUUGAGGCGCCAAUUGCGGCUGGUAACCACCGCCACUGCCAAAAUUUGAUGACGGCACUUGAGGCACAAACUACGAUUAGUAACCACCACCACGCGCUACACCAAAAUUUUAAUUAAAAGACAAGCGAACCAACGCCAGUGUCAGACCUUUAUAGCUUUCAUUAAACCGAUAAAACCACCAUUGUGUGAGGUGACAAAAGCGGCCACAGAUCUGACACUGCACAUGGCCCCUGAAACUACUACCACGACCGCCAGGCGAGGACCGAAUGGACCUAGAUGAGUCAGCCAUCAUUGGUGCUAAGGAGGGAUUGAAUCAGCGAGAUUCGCAUGAUAAGGAGUCUCAACAACCAGGCGUUUUUGUCUCAUUCAAACUGAAGAAGAAUAUCAAUCAAUCGACGUAGUGGUAGGGGUUCAAAGGAGAAGUAUGCAAGGGUAACCACCGUAUCGUACUCCGACAAAAACCCCGCGAGAACAAUCUCCACCUUCUUGGAGUCCGAAACCUGGUGGCCAGAGGCCGCAAGAUAACUGAGGACCAGUCACAGCAGCAAACAUGCGAUUAGCGGUGGUCCAGACAUCAUUAGAUGUUUGCACAUCAGUAAAGCACAACAAUAACGAACCACUGAUUGUGGAGAGUAACCAUGAUGCAAGAAUUUUAUAAUGAUGAUGAAAAAUGAAAGCCUCUGAAUUCAAAACCAUCUGGCCAUCCGGACCCAAUACAAAUUGUGGCGAAGACGAAUGAGAUCCAUCAACAAAUCCGGAAAACUUUGAAUCAAAUGAACCGUACCAGAGUUAGAGUGCAACAAAGGUGUCGCAGCACGGACAUGUGGAGAAUGACCAUUAGUAGAAACAAAAUUUGUAGAUUAAGCCAUGAGAGCACAACAAAAAGACACCAGAACCUCAAGCUAGUAAUACCAUGAAAGAAAUACUGGAAAAAGGUUGUGGGAAUCAUCUUCAAGCUUUUUCUUGCCAAGAUCUCUUUCUUGGAGGGGGAAUUAAAACCAUUGAAAGGCGUUGUGGAUUCUUAAUGUUUCCAAGGCUUCUUAGGAUAUCCUCUUCUCUUUUCUAUCCUUAAUUUAUCGUUUCUUGUUUAUUUAAGUUAGGUCUUGUUGUUUUGGAUUGCUAAUUUUAUUGAUUUUCGUUCUAGGUUAAAGUUGCUUCAAGAAAGACGUUCUCCUAUCUUAUUCCAUCAAUCAACACAUCAAAAUUAGGAGUUUUAACAUUUUCUUGUUGUUUCAAAUAUUUUUGCACAAAACAGUUUGUUUUUGUCUUUAAAAUCACUUCUAAUAAAUUUGUUUGUGUUUUGUUUUUCUAGAUCUGGUUAAGGCGUUUUCUUGAGGCCUAAGGACAGUUUUUUUCCAUCGAAGAAACUCUAAUUCAUUCUCUAUUGGACUCUUUACCAGCCGGUUCAUCUUUCUUUUUGUUUUAAUUUCAUUUGAUUUUCCUUUGUGACAACUAAUAUGUUUUUAUUGUUUCUUGUUUCAGUUUAUGUUCGUCAAGAAAUCUAGGAUAAAUCCGUGACUUUAACAAA
Molecule: long non-coding RNA, 1726 nt
Organism: Gossypium arboreum
Lineage: Eukaryota; Viridiplantae; Streptophyta; Magnoliopsida; Malvales; Malvaceae
Exons: 4
Source: RefSeq, a predicted model, not a curated record